GAGUUAUUACAGCUCUAUUAGAAUUUGUCUAGCAAGUUUUCUGACAUUGGUCACAGAAGCAA
Rattus norvegicus (Norway rat) is the source of this 62-nucleotide small nuclear RNA. Ensembl annotates it as U7 small nuclear RNA. Lineage: Eukaryota; Metazoa; Chordata; Mammalia; Rodentia; Muridae. The record is from Ensembl.